Molecule: long non-coding RNA, 208 nt
Filed under: Carica papaya (papaya)
Lineage: Eukaryota; Viridiplantae; Streptophyta; Magnoliopsida; Brassicales; Caricaceae
Description: long non-coding RNA (CPAP_LNC005887)
Source: RNAcentral
AGCCCUGCCAAAUUUCUUUAUGAAGAUAUGGGAAACACAGGCCACGGACCCAUAACUCAUCAAGAACCUUGGUAAGUUCACUUCGGAUGACUCUCAUGAUUUCAGGAUCUCUGAUGACGGGUUGUUCAGAUUCUGAAAUCGAAUUUAGGUCUCCGAUGUAGUACGCACAAAUGCACUCAAGACCGCCCAUGCUUCCAAGUUGUCCAUU